RNAcentral lists this ribosomal RNA (407 nucleotides) under uncultured bacterium. RNAcentral's name for it is "partial 16S ribosomal RNA". It matches the Rfam family "Bacterial small subunit ribosomal RNA", at positions 30 to 526 of the family's 1533-position model. The record is from RNAcentral.
AUUGAACGCUGGCGGCAGGCCUAACACAUGCAAGUCGAGCGGAGCGGCGGACGGGUGAGUAAUGCCUAGGAAUCUGCCUGGUAGUGGGGGGUAACGUCCGGAAACGGGCGCUAAUACCGCAUACUAUCAGAUGAGCCUAGGUCGGAUUAGCUAGUUGGUGGGGUAAAGGCCUACCAAGGCGACGAUCCGUAACUGGUCUGAGAGGAUGAUCAGUCACACUGGAACUGAGAUACGGACCAGACUCCGACGGGAGGCAGUAGUGUGGAAUAUUGGAUAAUGGGCUAAAGCCUGAUUCAGCCAUGCCGCGGGUAUGAAGAAGGUCUUCGGAUUGUAAAGCACUUUAAGUUGGGAGGCGUUACCAACAUAAUAAGCACCGGCUAAAUUCGUGCCAGCCGCCGCGGUAAUAC